GACGAACGCUGGCGGCGUGCCUAACACAUGCAAGUCGAGCGGACGAAGGGAGCUUGCUCCCUGAGUUAGUGGCGAACGGGUGAGUAACGCGUGAGUAACCUGCCUUUCAGUGGGGGACAACAGCCGGAAACGGCUGCUAAUACCGCAUAAUGCAUCGGAUUCGCAUGUUUUUGAUGCCAAAGAUUUUAUCGCUGAAAGAUGAGCUCGCGUCUGAUUAGCUAGUUGGCGGGGUAACGGCCCACCAAGGCGACGAUCAGUAGCCGGACUGAGAGGUUGAACGGCCACAUUGGGACUGAGACACGGCCCAG
RNAcentral lists this ribosomal RNA (308 nucleotides) under uncultured bacterium. RNAcentral describes it as "bacterial SSU rRNA". It matches the Rfam family "Bacterial small subunit ribosomal RNA", at positions 28 to 334 of the family's 1533-position model. The record is from RNAcentral.